GACGAACGCUGGCGGCGUGCUUAACACAUGCAAGUCGAACGGUGAAGCGCCUUCCUUUUUGGUGGGUGUGGAUGAGUGGCGAACGGGUGAGUAACACGUGAGUAACCUGCCCCCUUCUUCUGGAUAACCGCAUGAAAGUGUGGCUAAUACGGGAUAUUCUGGGUCUGUCGCAUGAUGGGUCUGGGAAAGAUAUUGUUUCGGUGGGGGAUGGGCUCGCGGCCUAUCAGCUUGUUGGUGGGGUGAUGGCCUACCAAGGCGGUGACGGGUAGCCGGCCUGAGAGGGUGGACGGUCACACUGGGACUGAGACACGGCCCAGACUCCUACGGGAGGCAGCAGUGGGGGAUAGUGCACAAUGGGCGCAAGCCUGAUGCAGCGACGCCGCGUGAGGGAUGGAGGCCUUCGGGUUGUGAACCUCUUUCGCCAGUGAAGCAGGCCUGCCUCGUUUGUGGGUGGGUUGACGGUAGCUGGAGAAGAAGCGCCGGCUAACUACGUG
Molecule: ribosomal RNA, 494 nt
Filed under: uncultured bacterium
Lineage: Bacteria
Description: partial 16S ribosomal RNA
Rfam family: Bacterial small subunit ribosomal RNA
Source: RNAcentral